This is a non-coding RNA of Oryza meridionalis, 204 nucleotides long. NCBI's taxonomy places the organism in Eukaryota, Viridiplantae, Streptophyta, Magnoliopsida, Poales, Poaceae. The record is from Rfam.
AAAAAGGCAAACCCUGAGUUUCCGUGUCCAACUUCGACUGUCCGUUUUAUAUGAAAUUUUUUUAUAAUUCGUAUUUUCAUUGUUGUUAGAUGAUAAAACAUGAUUAAUAUUUUAUGCGUGACUUGUCUUUUUAAUUUUUUCAUACUUUUUUUAAAUAAGAUGGACGGUCAAACGUUGGGCACGGAAACCAGGGUUUGUCUUUUU